CUCCUACGGGAGGCAGCAGUGAGGAAUAUUGGUCAAUGGGCGGAAGCCUGAACCAGCCAAGUCGCGUGAGGGAAUAAGGCCCUACGGGUCGUAAACCUCUUUUGCCGGGGAGCAAGGGCCGGGACGCGUCCCGGCCCGGAGAGUACCCGGAGAAAAAGCAUCGGCUAACUCCGUGCCAGCAGCCGCGUUAAUACGGAGGAUGCGAGCGUUAUCCGGAUUUAUUGGGUUUAAAGGGUGCGUAGGCGGGCUUUUAAGUCAGCGGUAAAAAUUCGGGGCUCGACCCCGUCCGGCCGUUGAAACUGGGG
RNAcentral lists this ribosomal RNA (305 nucleotides) under uncultured bacterium. RNAcentral's name for it is "bacterial SSU rRNA". It matches the Rfam family "Bacterial small subunit ribosomal RNA", at positions 336 to 638 of the family's 1533-position model. The record is from RNAcentral.